This 400-nucleotide unclassified non-coding RNA is filed under the name uncultured fungus. RNAcentral describes it as "sequence contains ITS1". The record is from RNAcentral. Lineage: Eukaryota; Fungi.
AUCGCCAUCGAUCCACGCUCCAUUGCGCUCGGUUCGCCGGUUUUCCUGGCGACGACCCGGCCGAAUUCCGCACAGCCGAUGAACAGGCUGGUCAUGGCUCAGGACACCGGCGGCGCCAUCAAGGGCGCGGUGCGCGCCGACUUCUUCUGGGGUUUCGGUAAGGAGGCCGGCGAACAAGCCGGUCGCAUGAAGCAGAGCGGUCGCAUGUGGGUGCUCUUGCCGGCCGAGCUUGCUCCGAAAUGAGGCGUGGGCGCACCGAUAACGAGCGGAUGGGUAAUAAUUUGCACCAACAUGGUGCAAAUUGUGCGCAAAUGACUUUGGUAACGCACUGAUUUGUAACAUUUUUUGCGCACUGGAAUGGUGCUUGCUUUUCCGUUCGCCAUCAUUGCCUUGGGGGUUU